UGGGAGGACCAUCUCCUAAGGCUAAAUACUCUCUAGUGACCGAUAGUGAACCAGUACCGUGAGGGAAAGGUGAAAAGCACCCCGGAAGGGGAGUGAAAUAGAACCUGAAACCGUGUGCUUACAAGUAGUCAGAGCCCGUUAAUGGGUGAUGGCGUGCCUUUUGUAGAAUGAACCGGCGAGUUACGAUUUGAUGCAAGGUUAAGCAGUAAAUGUGGAGCCGUAGCGAAAGCGAGUCUGAAUAGGGCGUUUAGUAUUUGGUCGUAGACCCGAAACCAGGUGAUCUACCCUUGGUCAGGUUGAAGUUCAGGUAACACUGAAUGGAGGACCGAACCGACUUACGUUGAAAAGUGAGCGGAUGAACUGAGGGUAGCGGAGAAAUUCCAAUCGAACCUGGAGAUAGCUGGUUCUCUCCGAAAUAGCUUUAGGGCUAGCCUCAAGUGAUGAUUAUUGGAGGUAGAGCACUGUUUGGACGAGGGGCCCCUCUCGGGUUACCGAAUUCAGACAAACUCCGAAUGCCAAUUAAUUUAACUUGGGAGUCAGAACAUGGGUGAUAAGGUCCGUGUUCGAAAGGGAAACAGCCCAGACCACCAGCUAAGGUCCCAAAAUAUAUGUUAAGUGGAAAAGGAUGUGGCGUUGCCCAGACAACUAGGAUGUUGGCUUAGAAGCAGCCAUCAUUUAAAGAGUGCGUAAUAGCUCACUAGUCGAGUGACACUGCGCCGAAAAUGUACCGGGGCUAAACAUAUUACCGAAGCUGUGGAUUGUCCUUUGGACAAUGGUAGGAGAGCGUUCUAAGGGCGUUGAAGCAUGAUCGUAAGGACAUGUGGAGCGCUUAGAAGUGAGAAUGCCGGUGUGAGUAGCGAAAGACGGGUGAGAAUCCCGUCCACCGAUUGACUAAGGUUUCCAGAGGAAGGCUCGUCCGCUCUGGGUUAGUCGGGUCCUAAGCUGAGGCCGACAGGCGUAGGCGAUGGAUAACAGGUUGAUAUUCCUGUACCACCUAUAAUCGUUUUAAUCGAUGGGGGGACGCAGUAGGAUAGGCGAAGCGUGCGAUUGGAUUGCACGUCUAAGCAGUAAGGCUGAGUAUUAGGCAAAUCCGGUACUCAUUAAGGCUGAGCUGUGAUGGGGAGAAGACAUUGUGUCUUCGAGUCGUUGAUUUCACACUGCCGAGAAAAGCCUCUAGAUAGAAAAUAGGUGCCCGUACCGCAAACCGACACAGGUAGUCAAGAUGAGAAUUCUAAGGUGAGCGAGCGAACUCUCGUUAAGGAACUCGGCAAAAUGACCCCGUAACUUCGGGAGAAGGGGUGCUCUUUAGGGUUAACGCCCAGAAGAGCCGCAGUGAAUAGGCCCAAGCGACUGUUUAUCAAAAACACAGGUCUCUGCUAAACCGUAAGGUGAUGUAUAGGGGCUGACGCCUG
RNAcentral lists this ribosomal RNA (1412 nucleotides) under Staphylococcus aureus. RNAcentral's name for it is "partial 23S ribosomal RNA". It matches the Rfam family "Bacterial large subunit ribosomal RNA", at positions 445 to 1861 of the family's 2925-position model. Lineage: Bacteria; Bacillati; Bacillota; Bacilli; Caryophanales; Staphylococcaceae. The record is from RNAcentral.